CUGGCUGCACAGGCCCGUAUGUGGGUGUACGUCAUGAAUAGUAACCUCUGCUCCAACUCUGGGUCCAAAAGAGAGGUCAGGACAAUAGAAAGGCUUGGGAUUAUAGGUAUGCGGCACAACAUGGAUGGCUUUUUUGGUUUUCUACCAUGGGUUCUAAGGAUUCAGCUCAAGUCCUUGAAGCAAGACAAGCUCUUUACCAAUGGUGCUUUCUACCUCUUAUCCUGGUUAUCCAGCGGGCUCUGUCCCCACACCUCACUUACCCACCUCUGAGGUUAGUGUUAUUGUCCACCCUCUGUGAUGUAGACAGUGAGACAAAGGAG
RNAcentral lists this long non-coding RNA (320 nucleotides) under Cricetulus griseus (Chinese hamster). Its description in RNAcentral is "lncRNA (ENSCGRG00015032416.1)". The record is from RNAcentral. Lineage: Eukaryota; Metazoa; Chordata; Mammalia; Rodentia; Cricetidae.